UGAGCUCCUAUGCUUUUAAAAGUACCAAGUUAUUGGGUACUUGUAGAUUUUUAGCUAUUGGAUUAAGAGAUAUGCGGUUAGGAUGAUAUGGGCCCCCUAGGGUUGAGUGGGUGGUUGGUUGAAUAGUAUAAUCUAACAGUUGAAAAUGAUCAGAAUAGUAGAUCUAACGGUAAAAAACUUACAAGCACCAAGUGCUUGGUGCUUUUACAAGCACUAUAGCUAGACUCUCUCUCUCUUUCUCUCUCUCUCUCUCUAUAUAUAUAUGCACCUAUUUUUUUGCUUACACAAUAUCUAAAAAUUCGUUACA
This 307-nucleotide long non-coding RNA is filed under the name Ananas comosus (pineapple). Its description in RNAcentral is "long non-coding RNA (ACOM_LNC025000)". Lineage: Eukaryota; Viridiplantae; Streptophyta; Magnoliopsida; Poales; Bromeliaceae. The record is from RNAcentral.